CGAAAGUGCCCUAGGGGUCCAUGAGCGGUGUGGGCAGAGCUGGUGUGGACUUCCACUUGCAGGUAAACUUCGUUCUUGUUUUCAGAUUUGCUUGUCUAUGAAACUGCUCUUUCAGAUCUCAUCUACUGAGAGCCAUACUUUGAGAAUUGCUGCUUCAGGAAAAAAUAACUGGGAGGAAGGAGUAAAAAUACACUUAACAUGUCCAAGCUUUCCUCCAUUAUACCUUCUUCUGCCUGAAAAGAUGUAAAACCCAUCCUGGCCCCCACUGUAGCUCUGUGAGAAGAACAAGGGAGAGGAAGUCUACAAAAAGCAGCCUUACAGUGAAGGCUGGGAAACCAGCAAGACACUGGUCCAUGAAGAAAAGAAGCAGAGAACAGGCAGUAAAGAGAGUGUUUGUGAGACUGGCAUUCAGGGAAAGGGCUUGAGUAUCCCUGGAGGAACUUAGGAUUAAGAGGAACCAAGAAGAAAUUCAUUCUGGGAUGCCUCUUGUACUUAGAGAAGACUUGUUCGCUGCAAGAAACGGCCCUACAAACAUCCCUAUGGUGUGAGUUUGCCACUGAGUUGCUGAGAUGUGGUUAUUCCCUGGAAAAGCUGAAAUGGAUGUCCACAGUCUCACGAUAGUACUGAAGCCUUUUGUAUGAUCCUAGCAUAGUACCUCAGUGGAAGAACUGGCAUCGUUAGGUGCCCUGAAUUGGCAACACCUUUUACCUUGAUCGUCAUGCUGCAGUAGCCCCAUUCUUAGUGCGUGUAGAGAUGGUGAAAGGACGGUUAUCACCUGAGGCUAGAGUCAGGCUUGGGGAAUCUCCAGUGGAUCCUACUAUCAUUUCCAGGAUUGAUUUCACAGGACCCCAACAUUCCAGAAGAGAUUGACUGGCCUUCCCAAUAAUACCCAUAGAAAUGGACAUGUGAGCUUUAGAAGAAACUCUUCUGUCCUCAAAUUUAAGUCUUGAAGAACAUUGUACAUAGUGAUAUCCAUGUUGGGGGAAGAUAUUUCUGAGGUUGAAGAUGUACAAGAGGAAACCGGCAGGGGCCUGAGGCCAGGGGCCAGGCAGGAUGGUGCCUAGAGGAAACGGCCAGGGCGUGAUCGGACUUGUCUGGUGCCUAGAGGAAACAGCUGGAACAUGGCCAGACUUGUUUUGAUGAAUCACUGAUUGGCUCCUGUCAUUUCCGUGCAUCCUGGCAGCGGUGAUCACCCCGCGAACACAAUGCUGUGCUAUGGAGAGGAGACUGCAUGCUCAAGUUCACCUUUAAAAUGAUUGGACGCUUGGUUGAGGAGGGGAUUUUCCUUUGUGAUUUUUGCCUUUAUAAGCUCUGUAAACACCUGCAAUAACCGAGUUCCUGCUUGACUGGCUCCCUGUGGCGUCUGAUUGUCUUCCAGGGAGGCUGUGGGUAACAGGCGGACAGCGCACUUCCCUUUCCCCAGCUCCUGUGUUGGGGCAGGAUCCCCGACAUCUGGCACCCAACGUGGGGCCUGAAGACCACUCGGACCCACUACGGGAGCUGAUCGCAGGGGCUAAUCGGGAAAUGGCCGGAACACAGCCAGACUUGUUUUGAUGAAUCGUUGAUUGGCUCCUGUCAUUUCCGUGCAUCCUGGCAGCAGUGAUCACCCCGCAAACACAAUGCUGUGCUAUGGAGAGGAGACUGCAUGCUCAAGUUCACCUUUAACAUGAUUGGACACUUGGUUGGGGAGGGGAUUUUCCUUUGUGGUUUUUACCUUUAUAAGCUCUGUAAACACCUG
Long non-coding RNA from Nannospalax galili (Upper Galilee mountains blind mole rat), 1738 nucleotides. RefSeq lists it as uncharacterized. NCBI's taxonomy places the organism in Eukaryota, Metazoa, Chordata, Mammalia, Rodentia, Spalacidae. The transcript is spliced from 5 exons. The record is from RefSeq and is a predicted model, not a curated record.